UAUCAACAGCAGUACGCGCAGGAACCCGCCCAGAAUAUCCAGUACGUCCAGCCGGCUGUCGCGUACCGACAGGACGACACUCAACAGAAAGUGUUCAGUCAGCCCGAACAGAGCAGAGUACUUGAAAGGCAACAGUUUGCAGCGCAGAACUAUCAAACGCAACCUCAGGGUCCAGUAAGCUUCACGAAGUUCUCUCAAGACCAAGCUCAGUCCAUUAUACAUCAUCCAUUAUAUCAGCAGAACGUUCACCAAGCGUCAUCCCAAGGAGGGUCAGGACACGGGAAUCUGUCGUACUUUAGACCUGGCCAUCAACUGCAAAUUCAACCUCAAGUUCUGCCACAAAGCCAGCCUCAGUCGUACCAACCACAAGUUCAGUAUUCAAAACCCGAUCCGGGGUACAAAGGUCAAUCGGCAGCGGCCCCAACAUUCCCAGCUGUACAAUAUUUCGGAAAAUACGCACAAUCCAUUUUCAAUAAAAACCAACAAUGAUAGAGUAUGAUAUAAGAUUAAGUUUCAAUAGUAGUCAAAAAUGGUAUUAUUGGUUCAAAGAACUUAUGAUAAAAUGUAAAUAAAUUCUUAUUAUAGAUAUAAAUAGGUUUAAUGUAAAUUAUGUGAAAGUAAAUACGUAUAACAAAUCAUCACCGUUCAUUAUCUUCAAUCAUCACAUCAAAACCGUAUUUUAGGUAUAUGCUACUAUGUCAUCAAUUCGUAUGCACAUAAUAAUUAUUUUGUUUCAUUCAAAAUAGUUUUUUAAAAGCUAAUUUAUUGUUAACGCAUAUGAACAGAUAUUUAUAUCAUCAACAUUUUAAUCUUUAUAUCUCUAUCUAUAUUAUAUGAUGUAGGAAGUGCUAUUUUUAAUUUAUUAUUUAAAGUCUAAAGUAGGUAUACUUGUAGUGGUAAAUGUUUAGUUCGUAAUGUUAUCAGGUCCAACAACAGCCAACAGCUCCAGACUUCUUUAAGAUUCAAUAGUUACAUUUUGUUUGUCAUCUGUUUUCACAACAAUGUCACAUAUUUAAUACAAUUAUCUUAUAAAAU
This is a long non-coding RNA of Papilio polytes (common Mormon), 1035 nucleotides long. RefSeq lists it as uncharacterized. The record is from RefSeq and is a predicted model, not a curated record. The transcript is spliced from 2 exons. Lineage: Eukaryota; Metazoa; Arthropoda; Insecta; Lepidoptera; Papilionidae.